UCGAGCGGUAGAGACUCUAACAGAUCUGAGCAUUAUAUUAACUACUCUCUCGCGUAUGAACAUUUGUAGCGGACUGAUCAUGUUACAAAUUGUACAUUCAGUGCGAAGCAAUAUCGUCUACCAAGAUAAUUUUGAAAUAUGGAGACAUAAAGACUGUCCUGUCGUUUGCAUGAGGAAGCAAUGUAUACGCUGUGAAAGACUAAACAAGUCGUUACAAAAAAGGAACCGAAGACUCAUACAGAAUAAUACUAGGCCGAGACGGUUAGAACAGGGAGCAAGUAAUGAACACGUGGAAGAAAAUAUUAUCGCUGUUCGUAAAAUAGUUCGAAGGGAGAGGGCUGCGCAUCGUCGAACAAAGGAAAGAAUUCAAAAACUGCAAACAACAACCUCUGAAAUACAAAAGAAACUUCGCAAGUUGAGCGAGAAAUCCAUCAGAGACUAAAUUACCAAAUUUAAUUUUUAACCAGCACAGAAAUUAGCCAUUGAAGCAAUGAUCGCUGCGGCAGAGAAAAAAGGCGCUAAACGAAACAGAUAUACUGAAAAUUGGAUAAUGAUGUUUAUGAUGAUGCACAUACGUUCACCUACUCAUUACCGAUUUCUACUAAAAAAUGACGUUCUACCAUUGCCAUCGCCACGAUCUAUUCGGCGCUACAUGUCAAUAAUCGACGCUAAAUAUGGUUUCAACAAAAAUUUUUUUGAGUUAUUUGAACGACAAAUGAACACCAAGAAGGCUAUACAGAGAAAUGGAAUUAUACUGAUCGACGAAAUUUCACUGCGAGAAUCCAUUGCUGUAUGUUCGACCAAUUUAACGUUCAAAGGAUUAACAGAUUUUGGGGAGGAUGGCACGAAAGCCGAAAACGUGAAUGAAUUGGCAAAUCACGGACUCGUGUUCAUGUUUUAGUCAUUGGCGGAUACAUAUGAGCAACCAAUACAUACGAAAGGACCAGUCAAAAGAACGGAACUAGCAAAACUUCUUCUUAAAGCUAUAGUCAGCUAGGAAGAUGCUGGAGCCUACAUUCACGCAGUUAUUUCCGAUGGUGCUUUGACAGAUUUGGAUGUAACAGCAAAAAAAGAUAAUUGUAAACCUUGGUUUAUUCAUCCGUGCGGCGAAUUAUGAAAAAUGUUCGUUUUUUCCGACACUCCAAACCUGAUAAAAAACAUACGCAACAGGCUGCACAAUAAUAAAAAGCUCAAGAAUUAUGCUUGAAGAUAAAAGGUAAUGGAAUAAGUCCAAUAAAAUGGGAACAUUUUACUUCCUUAUUCGAAGAAGACACGAAGCUUCCAACGAAGUUAAGAGUGUGUCCAAAAAUAACACGAAAUCACCUGAUUCUCAACACAUCUACAAAGAUGCGAGUACGAUUAGCAACUCAAGCUUUUAGCGAAUCCAUGGUUAAUGGCUUGACUUUUUAUAGAAAGCGUGGCACACCUGGUCUCGAGGAUUGUGAAGAAACCAUCAAAUUUUGCCAGCGCAUAAAUGUGUAACGUAUGAGUACGCUAGCUGAUGUGUGUUUCUUCUGUGUGUGUAUGAGUGUAGAUGCGCCCCCACUCCGCAUAUACCUAUUAUGUAUCGCUCGAUCCCCACCUAAUAGAAUCUAAAUAAUACCGGUCAAACGAAUUGUCGUUCCUUUCACCAACUAACCAGCGAACAAGUAGCAAGUGUCUUCGAAAAUAUAAUAGAUAAUACGCUCUGGGUGAUAGGGCCAUAAAAUAAAUCCACAUCUAUAUUAUAAAAUUCAGCUAGACAAUUGAGGAAAAUAUGAUCGGACACGGCGACAAUUUGGCUAGAUAAAACACCGGUGGACCACAUCAAUAAACUACCUACAUCAAUAAACACUCACCUACAUCGAUAUCAACGAUUCAAUAACUAAUAGGUGCUGAAAUCUUCUUUACUUUGGCUAAACGAAUGGAAGUCCAACAGGGUCGAAGGCUCAGUAACCAAGAAUGAAUUCCUAAGCGAUAGCACUGCGGAAGGGCUUCGUGUUACUUUGCAGGCGACUAUUGAAAUGUGCACUUACAUGCGAGAAAAAUUUCAAUUCGAAUACCUUUUAACCGAAAAAAUUAAUCAAGAUACAUUGGAGGUAUAAUCAUUGCAACCUUGAUGCUUUGUUCCAAUAACAUUUCCUAUUUACUUUUUACAUUUCCUGUUUACUUCAGCAAUUAUUUGGCACUAUUCAGCAAGCAGCUGGUUCAAAUGACCACCCUGCUACGCCGAUAUUUCUUCAAUUAUACAAACUGCUCUCCAGUUAAAGUAUCUUGAAACCUCCAGAGUUCGGAAAUUGCACAGUUACUGAGCCAAAAACUCCAAAUUUUAUAGUCACUGUUUCUGAUUUGAAAAAUAUCUACAAGUCGGAGAAAAUGAAUAAAGUCACGGAAAUUAAAGCCAAACUUGAUUCGUUAAUCAAACAAGAAGAAUGGGAAGAAGUCCCAAUUACUGAUCACGAUUACGCCCUUGUAUCAGUUGUCGAUUGUCUUGAAUACUCGAAAAAAAAAAGUGUUGCAAAGAGAAAACUAGUUAAAUUGUAUAAACUGUGACAGAAUUGAAAUUUCUUAAGAUAGCCUCAACGCCAGACGAGACACCUGUUAGAAUUUAUGGAUUACAGGCUGUCCUAAGGCGCGUGCGAGGAUCAUUACUUCCGAAGAUCCCCGUCACGUGGCGCAAGUAGAAAAGCGUGUGAUGAGAUUCGCAGUCGUGUCGCGCUAAUAGGAAGGCGUAAAAAGAAACUCUCUCGUAGAAGGGCUCAUAGGAAAGAGCUGGAGAGAGACAAAAGGAAACUCGUGGGAUUAAUCGAUCUAGAUAUACAAAAGCGACAUAGACAUAUUGUACCAGAGGAUAACCGUUGACCAAUUCACUAUGCAAGGACUAUAUACUAAUUAAAUUGGAAUAAGGAAAAUAAACUGUAAGUAAAUUUAUAAUUGAUCAAAUGCUAUUAUUCUUGCAAUUUCCUCGGGUCACCCAAUUCGAACCUCUUCUCUAAUUGACUAGCCGUUGCACAUUGAACAUUUUGUGGUAGGAUUUAUUGGUUUGCCCAUAAACCAAUUUGCGCUCAACCUAAAAAGGAGCCCAAUUUUAGAGCCCUAGCAGCCCCUGACCCAGGCCGCGCUAGGUGAAGGCUGAAUAAACGUGGUAAUUUAGAAAAGAAGAAGGAAGCCUGCCUCAUUUAGCGCCCAACGUGGGGCACGAUUGGGGAUUUUCAUAAGUAAAAUCAGAAAUAGCAAUUUGAAAAUUUAAUUGAGAAAAUUACUGAAUAAUUUUGUUCAAAGUUCAUCGACUAUUCCGUCUUUGUAAAUGCUGUGUGCUUGGUCAAUGUCAUGUGUCGUGUCAGUGUAGCGCCCGAACGUGGCAAAAGUAAACAUUAGUUCUAAGAAUCUAAAGUCAACAGAAGAUAAAGUCGAGUAAUAGAAUCUAUGCGAGUCUUUGAAAUAAAAUGAAAAUAAGUCGAAAUUUGUAAGAAUAUCGUAUGAGUCACGUUAUUUAUUUUGUACUAGUCAUUUAUGUAGAAUGAAGUUAAUGAUUAUUUAUUGAAAUUAUUUAUUGAAAUUAUCGGAAUAGUUAUUGAAAUUAUUAUUGAAAUUGUUUCUUAAAAUUAUUUAUCGAAAUUGUCUGAAGGAAUGGUUGCUGAAUGUAAAUUAUUGAAAGUAGCUGAGGAAAUUUCGACGGUAACAAUUAUAUUGAAAUGUGUAAGCUAUCCGCCCGACAAAGGUCCCUGUCGAACGGUAGAAAUUCACGUUGAAAAGAGGCUAUGAAUGCCAAUAUAAACUGUCGAUAAAGGUCUUGCCCCUGUCGUACAGUAAUGUAGAGAUUUGAAAAGAAGAAAUCCGUUUGAUAAAGGUCUUGCCCCUGUCGUACGGAUCAAAUAAGGAAUAUUAUAUAGGGUUGCGAUGUUUGAAAUUAAUCAUUUGACAAAGGUAUAGCCCUGUGGUGUUGAGCUUUGACGAGUGAUAGGAUAACGGAAGCCCUUAUGUCAAGAGCUCAAAUCUUGAGAACACCUAGAGUAUAUAGGUCUUGCCCUGAUACCUAGAGGAAUUGUUGAAUUAUUAUUUUGAGAUUUAUCAAGCAAUAGGGUAAUGAAGCCAUACGUUGCGGAGUCCAAAAUAUAAGUAGAUCACUAAAACAUAUAGGUCUUGUCCUAAUGCCCAGUGAGAAUUACUAGUGUGUUUAGAUCUUGCUCUGACACCUAAUGAAAUUGCUGUCGAAGCAGUUAAGCUAGAGUAUUUGGAUCUUGUUCUGAUACCCAGUGAAAUUAAGGGAACCGUUGGAGAACGCGGAAGUUGAUUUAGUCUCCAAUAGGUAAAAUUAGUAAUCAAUACAGGCCGUGUCCUGUUUGUUGAAAUUUAAGAAACGGUAAUCAAAUUACUCAUAGCAUCUGACUAGGUAGUAUCUCGUUCCGAAGUUUAGUUCAGAAUCGCUCUUAAUCAGGGUAAGGUGUUUGAGUGUACCCUCAUCCACUUAUUGAAUUUUAAUAAUGUUGUAAACCAUAAUAUAGAUUUGGAAACGCGCCUACGUCAGAAGCGACGGA
Molecule: long non-coding RNA, 4517 nt
Organism: Cephus cinctus (wheat stem sawfly)
Lineage: Eukaryota; Metazoa; Arthropoda; Insecta; Hymenoptera; Cephidae
Exons: 4
Source: RefSeq, a predicted model, not a curated record